AGGCGAACCGGGGGAACUGAAACAUCUAAGUACCCCGAGGAAAAGAAAUCAACCGAGAUUCCCCCAGUAGCGGCGAGCGAACGGGGAGGAGCCCAGAGCCUGAAUCAGCAUGUGUGUUAGUGGAAGCGUCUGGAAAGGCGCGCGAUACAGGGUGACAGCCCCGUACACAAAAGCGCAUGUGCUGUGAGCUCGAUGAGUAGGGCGGGACACGUGGUAUCCUGUCUGAAUAUGGGGGGACCAUCCUCCAAGGCUAAAUACUCCUGACUGACCGAUAGUGAACCAGUACCGUGAGGGAAAGGCGAAAAGAACCCCGGCGAGGGGAGUGAAAAAGAACCUGAAACCGUGUACGUACAAGCAGUGGGAGCCCCACCACUAAGCCAGUGGUGAACUCCACAUCCGCAUCCUUUGCUGAGGAUACGGUUAACGGAGCGAAAGCGACGUUCAACCGCAAAACAAGCAGAGGGGGCUUAGUGGUGGGGUGACUGCGUACCUUUUGUAUAAUGGGUCAGCGACUUAUAUUCUGUAGCAAGGUUAACCGAAUAGGGGAGCCGGAGGGAAACCGAGUCUUAAUUGGGCGUUAAGUUGCAGGGUAUAGACCCGAAACCCGGUGAUCUAGCCAUGGGCAGGUUGAAGGUUGGGUAACACUAACUGGAGGACCGAACCGACUAAUGUUGAAAAAUUAGCGGAUGACCUGUGGCUGGGGGUGAAAGGCCAAUCAAACCGGGAGAUAGCUGGUUCUCCCCGAAAGCUAUUUAGGUAGCGCCUCGUGAAUUCAUCUCCGGGGGUAGAGCACUGUUUCGGCUAGGGGGCCAUCCCGGCUUACCAACCCGAUGCAAACUGCGAAUACCGGAGAAUGUUAUCACGGGAGACACACGGCGGGUGCUAACGUCCGUCGUGAAGAGGGAAACAACCCAGACCGCCAGCUAAGGUCCCAAAGUCAUGGUUAAGUGGGAAACGAUGUGGGAAGGCCCAGACAGCCAGGAUGUUGGCUUAGAAGCAGCCAUCAUUUAAAGAAAGCGUAAUAGCUCACUGGUCGAGUCGGCCUGCGCGGAAGAUGUAACGGGGCUAAACCAU
This 1074-nucleotide ribosomal RNA is filed under the name Salmonella enterica subsp. enterica serovar Typhimurium. Its description in RNAcentral is "partial 23S ribosomal RNA". It matches the Rfam family "Bacterial large subunit ribosomal RNA", at positions 177 to 1190 of the family's 2925-position model. The record is from RNAcentral. Lineage: Bacteria; Pseudomonadati; Pseudomonadota; Gammaproteobacteria; Enterobacterales; Enterobacteriaceae.